Molecule: ribosomal RNA, 403 nt
Filed under: uncultured bacterium
Lineage: Bacteria
Description: partial 16S ribosomal RNA
Rfam family: Bacterial small subunit ribosomal RNA
Source: RNAcentral
GACGAACGCUGGCGGCGUGCCUAAUACAUGCAAGUCGAACGCAGUGGGGACGGGUGCGUAACACGUGGCUAACCUCCCAUCAGAGGGGAUAACACUUGGAAAAAGGUGCUAAUCCGAUACUGAUGGAUGGACCCGCGGUGCAUUAGCUAGUUGGUGCGGUAACGGCUCACCAAGGCCACGAUGCAUAGCCGACCUGAGAGGAUGAUCGGCCACGCUGAGACUGAGACACGGCCCAGACUCAUACGGAGGUCAGCAGUAGGGAAUCUUCGGCAAUUGACGAAAGUCUGACCGAGAAACGCCACGUGAGUGAAGAAGGUUUUCGGUUCGUAAAACUCUGUUGAUAGAGAAGCGGUAUCUAACCAGAAAGCCACGGCUAACUACGUGCCAGCAGCCGCGGUAAUAC